Long non-coding RNA from Saccostrea cuccullata (small rock oyster), 452 nucleotides. RefSeq lists it as uncharacterized. The transcript is spliced from 2 exons. The record is from RefSeq and is a predicted model, not a curated record. Lineage: Eukaryota; Metazoa; Mollusca; Bivalvia; Ostreida; Ostreidae.
GCAGCUUGUAGUGAACUUGAGCAGCUGAGACAGGUAAGAUAGCAGCUUGUAGUGAACUUGAGCAGCUGAGACAGGUAAGAUAACAGCUUGUAGUGAACCUGAGAAGCUGAGACAGGUAAGAUAACAGCUUGUUGUGAACUUGAGCAGCUGAGACAGGUAAGAUAGCAGCUUGUAGUGAACUUGAGCAGCUGAGACAGGUAGAAAUUACACCUUGAAGUGAACUUGAGAAGCUAAGACAGGUAGAAAUUACAGCUUGAAGUGAACUUGACAAGCUAAGACAGGUAAAGAUAAUAGCUUGUAGUGAACUUGAGAAGCUGAGACAGGUAAAGGUAACAGUUUGUAGUGAGCUUGAGAAGCUGAGAUAGGUAAAGAUAACAGCUUGUAGUGAACUUGAGAAGCUGAGACAGGUAAGAUAACAGCUUGUAGUGAACUUGAGCAGCUGAGACAGGUAA